Molecule: ribosomal RNA, 398 nt
Filed under: uncultured bacterium
Lineage: Bacteria
Description: bacterial SSU rRNA
Rfam family: Bacterial small subunit ribosomal RNA
Source: RNAcentral
AUUGAACGCUGGCGGCAUGCCUUACACAUGCAAGUCGAACGGCAGCACGGGAGCAAUCCUGGUGGCGAGUGGCGAACGGGUGAGUAAUAUAUCGGAACGUGCCCAGUCGUGGGGAUAACGUAGCGAAAGCUACGCUAAUACCGCAUACGAUCUACGGAUGAAAGCGGGGGAUCGCAAGACCUCGCGCGAUUGGAGCGGCCGAUAUCAGAUUAGGUAGUUGGUGAGGUAAAGGCUCACCAAGCCGACGAUCUGUAGCUGGUCUGAGAGGACGACCAGCCACGCUGGGACUGAGACACGGCCCAGACUCCUACGGGAGGCAGCAGUGGGGAAUUUUGGACAAUGGGCGCAAGCCUGAUCCAGCAAUGCCGCGUGCAGGAUGAAGGCCUUCGGUUGUAACU